Molecule: non-coding RNA, 758 nt
Organism: Chelonoidis abingdonii (Abingdon island giant tortoise)
Lineage: Eukaryota; Metazoa; Chordata; Testudines; Testudinidae
Source: RefSeq, a predicted model, not a curated record
CUCCGCCACCGCCAGCCGGCCGGCGCCCUGGUUGCUCCCGCUGCCUCCUUGCUCCGCGGUGCGACGGCGGCUCCUGCCCGGGGAGAGGUUGCCCCAGAAAGAAGUGCAGUUAAUUUUGCUGAGCUGCAUUUUUCUUCUGAUCUCAAUUAGCUUUUGAACAUUCAUGUUUGCUUUUGACUUUAACUUUUCUUGCUGCUGUUAAGUUCUGAUCAGUGCAAUGAUUUUUCCCAUGUUUUAUUUAUUUCCAGUAGCACCCAUUGCUUUGUAAUCAGAGAAGAAGCCUAUGUCCAAGUAACCCCCAAGCUAAGGAUAGACAAGGGAAGUAACAGAAAUUGGAUAGGAGAAGGGAAUCAACAUCUGUACAUGUAUGUGUAUAAACUUGUAGCCAAGUUAUUUGUCAAACAUGACAUUGUCAGCUAGCAAGUUUCUCAGCUAUCACCACAGAUGCAGGCCUUCAGGAGGAUAUUGACUAUACAGAGAGAAUGAGAGCUUGUGAAUGAGCUCAGGAAGGCCCUUACAUGCAAAAAUCAUAGCUGUUGAAUAGUCUUUCAUCUGUUGUUUCCUAGAAAUUGAACACAUUUGGUUAGGUCCGUGACAGAAUGGGAUAUGUCUUUGUCAAAUUAUGAAUUCCAUUUUGUACUGUAUAUUGACAUGUCUAAACUAUCCCAGUUCUCACACUGUUGCCCUUCUAGGCAAAGGUUCUUGACAUUUUGUUGAAGGCCUAUCGCUAAGAAGCAGUCAACCCUGCAAUCCCCAUG